Molecule: long non-coding RNA, 468 nt
Organism: Ixodes scapularis (black-legged tick)
Lineage: Eukaryota; Metazoa; Arthropoda; Arachnida; Ixodida; Ixodidae
Exons: 2
Source: RefSeq, a predicted model, not a curated record
GUCACCCGCGCUCCCUGCGCCGCCCGCGCCACCUAUUCCACCUUCAUUCGUUCUCAAGCUUCGGGGAGGUGCGUUGCUGAAGCUCACAAGUACGGAGAGCGGUCUUCUCGUAAAGAUUCGUUGCCGUAGUACGAGGACGACUUCAUGAUGAAUUCGGCCCUUCAGAAGAGCUCGUCGAUUUUCAGAACCGCUGCAAUGCAAGUUCGACACACUUCGGUGACUCGCUACAUAGGCACUCCACCGCAGGUUCGCAUCUCGACUGCCGAGAAGUGCGCUCACAUUGCGGUCAUCGUCGGUACCAUCCUCGCCGGUCCAGCCUGGGUUCUUGUCCACCUGCAGGACUACAAGAAGUAAACAGUAUUUAGUACGUUGCACUGCGUUGGUCAAGCCCCGCAAGAUACAGACAUGGCACAGCGGCAUCCUAGUUUUGAGGAAUGGAAAUAAAUAUUCGUUUACUUGAUAGUGACA